Molecule: ribosomal RNA, 137 nt
Filed under: uncultured bacterium
Lineage: Bacteria
Description: partial 16S ribosomal RNA
Rfam family: Bacterial small subunit ribosomal RNA
Source: RNAcentral
CAGCAUACUGUGGUGAAUACGUUCCCGGGCCUUGUACACACCGCCCGUCACACCAUGAGAGUUGAGAAUACCCGAAGCCCAUGUCAAAGUGGUCGAAGGUAGGCUUGAUGAUUGGGGUGAAGUCGUAACAAGGUAAC